GCCAGACUCCUACGGGAGGCAGCAGUGGGGGAUAUUGCACAAUGGGGGGAACCCUGAUGCAGCGACGCCGCGUGGGUGAAGGAGUAUUUCGGUAUGUAAAGCCCUAUCGGCAGGGAAGAAGCAAGACGGUACCUGACUAAGAAGCCCCGGCUAACUACGUGCCAGCAGCCGCGGUAAUACGUAGGGGGCGAGCGUUAUCCGGAUUCACUGGGUGUAAAGGGAGCGUAGACGGCCAUGCAAGCCAGGGGUGAAAGCCCGGGGCCCAACCCCGGGACUGCCCUUGGAACUGUGCGGCUAGAGUGCGGGAGGGGCAGGCGGAAUUCCUGGUGUAGCGGUGAAAUGCGUAGAUAUCAGGAGGAACACCGGUGGCGAAGGCGGCCUGCUGGACUGCAACUGACGUUGAGGCCCGAAAGCGUGGGGAGCAAACAGGAUUAGAUACCCCAGUAUUA
This 449-nucleotide ribosomal RNA is filed under the name uncultured bacterium. RNAcentral describes it as "bacterial SSU rRNA". It matches the Rfam family "Bacterial small subunit ribosomal RNA", at positions 330 to 795 of the family's 1533-position model. The record is from RNAcentral.